This 1346-nucleotide ribosomal RNA is filed under the name uncultured bacterium. Its description in RNAcentral is "partial 16S ribosomal RNA". It matches the Rfam family "Bacterial small subunit ribosomal RNA", at positions 28 to 1381 of the family's 1533-position model. The record is from RNAcentral.
GACGAACUUUGGCGGCGUGCUUAACACAUGCAAGUCGAACGGAAAGGCCCUGCUUUUGUGGGGUGCUCGAGUGGCGAACGGGUGAGUAACACGUGAGUAACCUGCCCUUGACUUUGGGAUAACUUCAGGAAACUGGGGCUAAUACCGGAUAGGAGCUCCUGCUGCAUGGUGGGGGUUGGAAAGUUUCGGCGGUUGGGGAUGGACUCGCGGCUUAUCAGCUUGUUGGUGGGGUAGUGGCUUACCAAGGCUUUGACGGGUAGCCGGCCUGAGAGGGUGACCGGCCACAUUGGGACUGAGAUACGGCCCAGACUCCUACGGGAGGCAGCAGUGGGGAAUAUUGCACAAUGGGCGGAAGCCUGAUGCAGCAACGCCGCGCGCGGGAUGACGGCCUUCGGGUUGUAAACCGCUUUCGCCUGUGACGAAGCGUGAGUGACGGUAAUGGGUAAAGAAGCACCGGCUAACUACGUGCCAGCAGCCGCGGUGAUACGUAGGGUGCGAGCGUUGUCCGGAUUUAUUGGGCGUAAAGGGCUCGUAGGUGGUUGAUCGCGUCGGAAGUGUAAUCUUGGGGCUUAACCCUGAGCGUGCUUUCGAUACGGGUUGACUUGAGGAAGGUAGGGGAGAAUGGAAUUCCUGGUGGAGCGGUGGAAUGCGCAGAUAUCAGGAGGAACACCAGUGGCGAAGGCGGUUCUCUGGGCCUUUCCUGACGCUGAGGAGCGAAAGCGUGGGGAGCGAACAGGCUUAGAUACCCUGGUAGUCCACGCUGUAAACGGUGGGUACUAGGUGUGGGGUCCAUUCCACGGGUUCCGUGCCGUAGCUAACGCUUUAAGUACCCCGCCUGGGGAGUACGGCCGCAAGGCUAAAACUCAAAGGAAUUGACGGGGCCCCGCACAAGCGGCGGAGCAUGCGGAUUAAUUCGAUGCAACGCGUAGAACCUUACCUGGGUUUGACAUGGAUCGGGAGUGCUCAGAGAUGGGUGUGCCUCUUUUGGGGUCGGUUCACAGGUGGUGCAUGGCUGUCGUCAGCUCGUGUCGUGAGAUGUUGGGUUAAGUCCCGCAACGAGCGCAACCCUUGUUCACUGUUGCCAGCACGUUAUGGUGGGGACUCAGUGGAGACCGCCGGGGUCAACUCGGAGGAAGGUGGGGAUGACGUCAAGUCAUCAUGCCCCUUAUGUCCAGGGCUUCACGCAUGCUACAAUGGCUGGUACAGAGAGUGGCGAGCCUGUGAGGGUGAGCGAAUCUCGGAAAGCCGGUCUCAGUUCGGAUUGGGGUCUGCAACUCGACCUCAUGAAGUCGGAGUCGCUAGUAAUCGCAGAUCAGCAACGCUGCGGUGAAUACGUUCCCGGGGCU